RNAcentral lists this ribosomal RNA (144 nucleotides) under Olea europaea subsp. europaea. RNAcentral's name for it is "LSU_rRNA_bacteria". Lineage: Eukaryota; Viridiplantae; Streptophyta; Magnoliopsida; Lamiales; Oleaceae. The record is from RNAcentral.
UGCAAAUGUAUCCUCAGGUCGAAUGGAGAUUAGCUCUUGAAUCAAAGGUAGAAAAGGAGCUUGAUAGCAAGAUCGUCUGUCGAUUAAGGGACGAAAGUCGACCUUAAUGAUUCAAUGGUGAUGAAUAGAAAGGCCAUCACUCAA